CGUUAUGAGGAAAUGAGAACUUAGAGUUGCUUAGAAAAUCAAGAAGUUGCCUCCAAGCCACAUUGCUGGUUCUCUGCAUUAAAUCAGGCAGUUGAGAAUGAUAAUGUUUUGAUGAAAGGUAAGACCAAGACAAAAUGAUCCUGCCACAUUUUUAUGGAUAAAGAACAUCCUCCUUAUCCGAAGAAGAGUCCUUAGAGAGAGGAAUGGAGAAAGAGAGAGAGAGAGAGAGAUGGAGAAAUAUCAAUGUGAG
Artibeus jamaicensis (Jamaican fruit-eating bat) is the source of this 250-nucleotide long non-coding RNA. RefSeq lists it as uncharacterized. The transcript has 3 exons. The record is from RefSeq and is a predicted model, not a curated record. NCBI's taxonomy places the organism in Eukaryota, Metazoa, Chordata, Mammalia, Chiroptera, Phyllostomidae.